This is a long non-coding RNA of Oreochromis niloticus (Nile tilapia), 559 nucleotides long. RefSeq lists it as uncharacterized. The transcript has 2 exons. The record is from RefSeq and is a predicted model, not a curated record. Lineage: Eukaryota; Metazoa; Chordata; Actinopteri; Cichliformes; Cichlidae.
GCACAUCAAGGUCUUCCAGGACUGCUGUUCCUUCAAUCACAAUUUUAGCGAUGGCUGGGAGAGACACUGCUGCACGUCUGGUGACUACAAUCUUUACCACUUCUUCUGGGAACUGUUCUUCACCAUCCUGGCAAAUACACCAUCAGGCAACGGAUUGCGACCUCUCUCUUUAUUUCCACCGAACUCUGGAGAAUAAAAAAAGCAAAACAAAACUUAAACUUACAGUUUAUUAGGUGAAAAGUCAAAACUGUUACAUUUAUGUGACUUGCAUUGUGCCAAAUAUUGAUUUUAAAUAUGUUUUUAAAAGAAUUAAAGAUUUCAUCUUUGUAACUACAAUUUAAACUGUUUUAAAUGCUGCUUUAAAUGCACCCUUUGCUAGCAGUAGGAUAAGGUGAGUAAAGUAAAUGUAACCUAAAUGUAGAGACUAUUUUAAACUGUUUUUGUUGAGUUGUGUUCUAAGGAUUAAACUAUAAUUGUUAGAUGUAAAAUAUGUGCAAAAGUACCUGUGGACGAGUCUUGCAAUGAUGUGAUAAACCAAUAAAAGCUCCUAUCCACCCUC